This 75-nucleotide transfer RNA is filed under the name Nitrososphaerales archaeon. RNAcentral's name for it is "tRNA-Tyr". It matches the Rfam family "tRNA". Rfam says of the family: Transfer RNA (tRNA) molecules are approximately 80 nucleotides in length. Their secondary structure includes four short double-helical elements and three loops (D, anti-codon, and T loops). Further hydrogen bonds mediate the characteristic L-shaped molecular structure. tRNAs have two regions of fundamental functional importance: the anti-codon, which is responsible for specific mRNA codon recognition, and the 3' end, to which the tRNAs corresponding amino acid is attached (by aminoacyl-tRNA synthetases). tRNAs cope with the degeneracy of the genetic code in two manners: having more than one tRNA (with a specific anti-codon) for a particular amino acid; and 'wobble' base-pairing, i.e. permitting non-standard base-pairing at the 3rd anti-codon position. Lineage: Archaea; Thermoproteati; Nitrososphaerota; Nitrososphaeria; Nitrososphaerales. The record is from RNAcentral.
GGGCCUGUGGCUCAGCCAGGUAGAGAGUUAUCCUAUAGGGUUAAUAGGUCGUGGGUUCAAAUCCCACCAGGCCCG